AUUAGCUCCUACUUCCUCUGGAGUCGUUGAGUACAACACGUUCUCACUCCCAACUCGUCACAUAUUGAAGCUUGGUCAGGAUCCCUUUGUCGUCAUGUUUUAACUCACUGGGUACCCCUUUGUCGUCAUGUUUUAACUUGCAGGGAUUCCCAUAGACUUCUGACCGGAACCGGCGGCGUUGACAUUUGACCUGCAGGAGCUGACCGCAGUGUGUACGGGACUCGAGACUAUGAUAAAUAGGAAUAAAAAAGAAAAGGCUGCAAUAAAUUAGUUAUGGCAGGGCGAUUCGAUUGGCGUCCCCCAGGUCAUAUUUAACUGAUUUUUUAUUUUAAAAACCACUGGUUUGCUGAUAUCAAAGUGCGUCUGUGAAACAGGUUCAGCGGUGACUUUAACAGCGCUCCAGCGAGCAACAGCAGUAGUGUAUUCCUCGUAAUGCUGCUGUUUUUGUCGAGGCUUGUUGAUGAUGAUAAACGUAUUUAAUGUGGUGUGAUUAUGUUUGGUUAAUCAGUGAUUAAUCAGCGCAAUGCGAUGCAAUCAACCUAUUAUUUAUUUAUCUAUUUAUUUAUUUAUGUGUUUGUUUGUUUGAUUGAUUAUUUAUUAUCUUUAUUUAUUUAUUAAUAAGUCAAUCAAUCAGUGAUGCUGACGUCAUUGUAAGGCGCGAUCCCAAGGUCCACUGCGAUUUCCCGCUUGGUAAGUAGACCAGUUAAUUAAUACAGAUGGGAACACUCCUUAAAUUUAUGGUACAAAAACUGUAUAACCAGGUCAAAAAGUUGUGUUUAGACCCUUAAGAAUUGCAAGGUAGCAGUUUCGUGAUGCAGUUAUUAUAAAAAUAUAACGUGCUGCACCAAAUGUGUAGUCGGCUAGCUUAAGUUAGCUAAUUAAAUUCAAGCUUGUUUAUUUUUUUUCACAUAUAAUCAUGCAGGAUAAUAUCAUAGGAGAUUGUAUGAUUUGUAAUUAUGAUGUGUGUUCAGUUACCCAUAUUACAGUAAGUUAGCUCGAUCACAACACUAUAGCCAUUUAUAAAUGUUCAGAUGAAGAACAGUGUUGCCAGAUUGGUGUGUUUUCCAGUAAUUGAUCAAAAUCCACACAAAAUUAUAUAGUAAACACACAAAUCUUACCAAUAAUAAACUAUACAAAUUAAUUCAUAACUACAACAAUAACAUUUGCUCAUCAAAUGGCAUAAUAAAGCAAAUUAAGCGUUCUCUCAUUUUCCAUGUCUGUCAUUUGCCUUAAAGAAAUAAAAGAGUACAACAGAAAUAUCAAAAUGCCACCUGUCCAAGCCCAUUUUAUUCCACGUAGUACAACUCAAAACUGCCCAAUCUGCCAACACUGACGAAGAAAAUACUGGUAAAAAUGUAAGGAGUUCAAUAUUUUUUUUCCUGUCUUAUCAGGUCCUUCAAAUUUGCCAGCUUCCAACAUUCUCCUUUAUUUUAACCUCCCUCCACACACACACACACACACACACACACAAACCAAAGGCACUUUUAAGAGCCACGUCUGUCUUGUUAACCUGUACUUGUUUCUCUGUAGCUCGCUCUGUCUCUUUCUCUCUCUCUCUCUCUGUUUACAUAUCUAGUUGUCGUAUCUGUCCUUCUUUGUUGUGAGUCUUUCUGUCUGUUUGUGUUUCUGCCCAUCACCAUGAGUGAUUCAGAACUCCAAGAACAGUUUAUGAAGCUGGAUAAACUGGUUGAUCAUCAAGAACUCAAUGAUGAACUCCAAAGUCUUGAUGACUUGCUUGGUGAGCUGCAGGAAGAGGAGGAAGCAGCACCAGUAAAGACACCUGAACCAAGGGUGCAUUGGAGAAAGAGAGACAUUGAUGGAAACAUUGUCUAUGCAAGGCCAAGAUCAAACAGGAAUCAGUCAAAUAAGGCUGAUCACAUUCAGAAAACUGAUCCUCCCAUCAAUGCUCCUGACACUAACUGUGAGGUGACCUUUGCUCCAGAGACUGUUGAGUGUUUUCUGCGAGAUCUCCAGCACUCACUGAGCGAUACCUCAGAUGAUGAGGCAUCACCUCUUGGAACCUCAGAGAUCCUCUCCCAGCUUCCUCGAGCUGGAGCACACGACAAAGUCUCUUCUCAGAGAGGUGGAGGGCAGAGAGACCCCGUCUGGUGAACACCGCUGCGGCGCAAGGAAAUGUGGCAACACGCAUCUGCCAACAGUGUGGGAGCAAUCCAGCUGCUGUCCGGUGUGGUGACUGUCGACCACUCUCCUUCUUCUGUGCUGAAUGUGAUGUCAGCAUGCACACCAGACAUGUUCUCCAUAACCGAGAUGCCAUGACCCCUGGGUUCUACCAGCCACUGCCUCCAACAACUUUUGUCGUAGAUAAGGCUCUUUCCCAUUGUGGCAAGUUCUGGUUUUACGGCUUGUACCUGUGGAGAUUCCUGACAAAAUGUGUGGUUGUUCAUCAGAGUCAUUGAGGGUCAGCCCAGGGAAGACUGUUGCUGUGAUCACAAUGAAUGGACGAUAUGAUCUAAGCAUGCCUGAGCUGAGUUGGGCUGUUGGAGUGGUCGACCUAAAUCGAAGUGACUACUGGUCUGCGACCCUUCACUUUGCCACAAUUUAUGCCACAGAUGUCUUUUUCUCAUUUGAAGAAAUGAAGAUGGCAGCACCAGGACUGUCCUGCCAAGCAUUUGUAAGGAUGCUGGAUCAGCGAACUGUCCGCUUUGGUCGUACUGGCAAGAUCUCCACAGACAGUUUUCAGAAAAGUUUUUUUUGAGUGGGAGGCUGUGCGAUAUGAGGUGGACAAAAUCUGCAAAGAAGAGCCCUUCAUCUGUCCUGCGUGCACCCCAGAUAUGCUGGCAGUGUCAGUAGAUGGAAACCGCAAGCAUUACCGUUUCAAGAAUGCAGCUAGAUCUGAAGAACAGGCCAUCUUUGAAGAUGUCUUUAUAGCUAAGGAUGAAGAUGUGACAAGAUUUGUGGACUACAUUCACAAGACAUCCAAACAUGUCAGUGGAAGAGGUGUUUGCGGAAGGGAGCGGUCAGCAGCCAGAGAGACCUCCCAAAGAUCAGCAAGCAAGGUAGACGAGGAGGGAUUGGAGCUUGCGGUGUGUCGACACGGAGUGCUGCUCUGUGCUUUAAAUAUGUACAGGGGUGAAAUUUUUGCCUAUCCCCUGGACCUGCAAGAAAAGCUGGCCAGUAGGCAAAUCACUUUUUUUUUGUAUGGAUGUGACCUGCAAAUAUUGGCCCAACCUCCAAAGAGUUGCAAAAAGCUGCCCAGAGCUCCAGCACCUUCUUAACAUGAAGCCCUUCCUUUCAGUAUUCCAUGCCAAAGCCCAUGAUUUUAAAUGCGAGGUGAAAUGGAGUGGGGCAUAUCAGGAUGGGGCUGGUUUAACACUAGGGGAGGAGGUGGAACAGUGCAAUGCUUUCCUGUCUGGCAAAGCCAGUUGCAAAACCUAGAGUCUAUGAAAGUCGACCUGGCAGUGACAGAGAGCCACUGGAAGACUGGCUCAAUGAUGUAAAGGAGUGGGCAAAGGAUGAGGAAAUGACUAGUGUAUAUCAACAACAACAACCACAAAUGAUGUUGAUGCUGGUGGCGAGUAUCAAGAGACGUUCCCAGCGACUCUAUAAGGAUACAGAUGGCAACAAAGGUCGUGCCAGGAUCCGCCGCAAGAUCAGGGAGGAGAAGGGGAUCCUGACAUCAGUUGUAGAGAAAUACAACAGAAUGGUUCCAAACACUGAAACUCUGUGCUUGGAAACCAUUUUGUCUGGUGAGACAGCUUGGCCAUGGCAGCUAUCACACAGUGACUCUGUCGAUCUAAGAACAAAGAGAAAGGCAUUCGACACCAUCAUGUCAUUAAGGAGACUUCAGGAGGAGCAGAAGAUUCUUGUUGCAGAGAUGGACAACCAUUGGAAAUAUCUUUCAACUUUUAAUCCAACUAUGAUUUUUCUGAAAGACUAACAUUUUUGUGUUAGUAUUAGGGGGCAGCCCUAUUAAACAUACACAACAAUGAUGACUUUAUAAAGUUUCUAAGGGAGGCUUAAUGCUUAAUGUCAUUCUUUUAAGAUUCGCAAUGUGGCCUAAGUGAAGAGGGUUUGAAAGGUCUGCAGAGCAUCAUCCACAGAAAGCAACGUACAGUCAGAGAAAUGAGGGUGCAAGCAAGAGACUGUUACCUGCAAGUUUUGUCUGGAGCUGAGAACAACCUCUUAAACAAACUGUCAGCUGAUGACUAUGACAGUGACUUCGAAAUUUCUGAUGACGAACUAUAAUCCACAAGACUGUGACACCUUUUUUUUUUUCUUGACAGUGACCUUGACCUUAACCCUGAAUCUAAAGCAUGUAAUAAAAUCUGCU
Onychostoma macrolepis is the source of this 4291-nucleotide long non-coding RNA. RefSeq lists it as uncharacterized. Lineage: Eukaryota; Metazoa; Chordata; Actinopteri; Cypriniformes; Cyprinidae. The record is from RefSeq and is a predicted model, not a curated record. The transcript has 11 exons.